Long non-coding RNA from Belonocnema kinseyi, 679 nucleotides. RefSeq lists it as uncharacterized. The record is from RefSeq and is a predicted model, not a curated record. Lineage: Eukaryota; Metazoa; Arthropoda; Insecta; Hymenoptera; Cynipidae. The transcript has 4 exons.
ACUUUCGGCCUUCAUUGGCAUCAUUCAGCUUCAUUACAGGUUACAGGAUUACAUAAAAUGUUAUGCUUUAUCAAUUCACUUAAUAAAAAAAAAUAUAUUGUCAACUGAGAAGUAAAAAAGCUGUUUAUCGUUUAAACCGCUUUUGUUUUUCUAUACUAUUUGUGUAAUCUGAUGGAGUAAUAAAUCACCAUUUGGUUGAUAAAAGCAUUCCCUUGCACAAGAAUUUUGGUUUCAAAUUUUUUAUCAAAAAGGAGCUGGUCCAUGUACUGAAAGGAGAGAUUGACUGUCAAUUAAAUUCGUAGUAUUGAAAACAUCGAAGAAAACAUGUAUUAUCUUAUUUGUUCAAUCAAUUGAUUAAAAUUGACGCAUAACUUUCCACUGUACAAUGUUGCUUUAAAUUCGACCAAACAUAUUGCCUACGUUUAGCACAAUGCUAUGAACAGCCACACAAAAACUGCUGUUAAGAAAAAGUACACUGUCAAUUCCAAAGGCACUCAAACAAAGAGGAUGACGCAUUUUAAAGAGUAGCGUCAUAGUGAAAAUGUCAACAGAGCUUAUGAAAACAUAGACGCGGUUUUGGAAAAAGUAAUCCUACGCAAUGGAAAGUUAGCCUUGAAGCAUCAAAGUAAAAAGUAAAGAGGUGAAGUAGGAUGUAAUAAUAAGAAAAAAUACCAGGAAA